This 453-nucleotide ribosomal RNA is filed under the name Adelognathus sp. CNC 422322. RNAcentral describes it as "partial 28S ribosomal RNA". Lineage: Eukaryota; Metazoa; Arthropoda; Insecta; Hymenoptera; Ichneumonidae. The record is from RNAcentral.
CCUGAGAAACCCAAAAGAUCGAAUGGGGAGAUUCAUCGUCAGCGAUUUUGGUACGUGUGCGGUUCGCGAUGUCGUGGACUUCGGUCCUCUGGCACGCGUCCGCAUGUUUUUAUUGCCUGAAUCGUCGGCGUGCACUUCUCCCCUAGUAGGACGUCGCGACCCGUUGGGUGUCGGUCUACGGCCCGGUAGGUAGCCUGUCUCGUGUGCGCUUCACGGUGUUACGCGGGGCAGACCUCCGGUUGCCCGACCGGCUGCCCGGCGGUACUCGCAAGGUAUCUGGCCGCAAAUAUUCGAACUGCGUCCGGCCCGUCGCAAGCGCGGCAAGUGUUUCCCGGAUGUACGGAUCUAAUGCCGUCACUGGGCCUUGCCAGCUGUUGGUUGACGGUGUCCUAGGACUGGCUAAAAUAAUUAUGAUACCGGUCGGCGACGCUACUGCUUUGGGUACUUUCAGGA